ACUGUCAACUACGGCUAUACUUACACAUGCAAGUCUCAGCACCCCCGUGAGAACGCCCACAGUUCUCUGCCCGAGAACAAGGAGCUGGUAUCAGGCACAUGUCUCUAUAGCCCAUAACACCUUGCUCAGCCACACCCUCAAGGGAAUUCAGCAGUGAUAAACAUUAAGCCCUGAGCGAAAGCUCGACUUAGUUAAAGCCAAGAGGGCCGGUAAAACUCGUGCCAGCCACCGCGGUUAUACGAGAGGCCCAAGUUGACAGGUGCCGGCGUAAAGAGUGGUUAAGAAAAACUAUCCAACUAAAGCCGAACACCGUCAGAGCUGUCAUACGCUUCCGAAGGCAUGAAGCCCCACCACGAAAGUGGCUUUACCCCCUUCCGACCCCACGAAAGCUGCGGAACAAACUGGGAUUAGAGACCCCACUAUGCCCAGCCCUAAACUUUGAUGACACAUUACACCCGUCAUCCGCCAGGGAACUACGAGCAUUAGCUUAAAACCCAAAGGACUUGGCGGUGCUUUAGACCCA
RNAcentral lists this ribosomal RNA (523 nucleotides) under Amatitlania nigrofasciata. RNAcentral's name for it is "partial small subunit ribosomal RNA". It matches the Rfam family "Bacterial small subunit ribosomal RNA", at positions 26 to 929 of the family's 1533-position model. The record is from RNAcentral. Lineage: Eukaryota; Metazoa; Chordata; Actinopteri; Cichliformes; Cichlidae.